Molecule: long non-coding RNA, 605 nt
Organism: Prionailurus viverrinus (fishing cat)
Lineage: Eukaryota; Metazoa; Chordata; Mammalia; Carnivora; Felidae
Exons: 3
Source: RefSeq, a predicted model, not a curated record
UAGAAUUCUAGGAAAAUUCUUAUUAGUCAUGACUAAAUAAGACCCAGCAGUAGCUAACUAAGUACUAAAUAGUGAAUUAAACAAAUAGUGAUGCCAGAUUUGAGUGUCAUAUAAAAUGGAUUUCUAAAAGAUACAUGGGUGCCACCUUUUGGCCAGAUUAAAAAUUUACACAAAUUAUAACCCACGAUCACAUGUUAAUUUCACAAAGAGACCGUGUUAGACAUGGUUAAUUCAAACAUUAUGUGAAUAGAUUUUAAACUGCCUUGUUGCUUAAUACAGCUGAUUUUUAAUCACAUUUUUUUAUUUUUUAAGACCUGGGAUAGAAGAUAAUACAAAGAGAGUUUAAUUCUGAACUAACGCAACUCAUACUUGCCUGCUGGCUUUUGGACUGGAAUGAUACCAUCGGCUUUCCUGGGUCUCCAGCUCGCCAACUGUAGAUCUUGGAACAUCUCAGCCUCCAAAUUUAAAACAACUAUAUGUAGGAUGUGGAAAGAAGAGAGAAUCCUAAGUUGAUCCAAGAAGAAAAUGUCUGCUUAGUAUUUGCCUCAUACAUUAAUUAAGGUGCAUCUAGCAUUUCCAGUUUUAAGAGCUUGGUAAUCAUGCAA